UCUUCUGAAGAGAGGGACAGACAGGUUUAAGGAGAGUAAACUUCAGAAUUCCAUCAAGUUAUCUUUAUUUUUACUAAGACUAAAAUAAUGUUUGUUUUUGUAGAUGUUGAAAUCCAGAGACAGGAUAACUUCAUUCUUAUGAGACUGAUAACUCAAACUAACUGGAGUUAAGGGGACAGAAGUCUGCUUGUGUGAGGAGGAGGUUUUCUCAGCUUCUUUGGAAGAGAGGGAAAGAUCGUUUAAGGCAAGUAAACUUCAUAAUUUCAUGUUAUCAGUUAUCAGUUGUUGUUGUUUUUAUUUACUAAGAGUAAAAUAAUGUUUGUUUCUUUGUUUUUGUAGAUGUUAAAAGCCAGAGACAUGGGAGAUCAUCAUUCUUUUGAGAUUUCAUAACUCAAACCAACUUUGGAGUUGUCUGAUUUGGAGAGCCCUCAUUCUUGGUCUUCCUUCUUAAAGGCCACUGAUGAAGAGCAGGCGAUGACUGGAUGAAUGCUGGUCAAAGAAGAGAAUGUCCUUUCCCCUAAACUGAUGCAGCAGUGGUUUUAAAGGAGGACGCUGCCCCGGAUGAUGUAGAAAAUGUCAUCUUCAUGACUACAUCAUUUAUGCUAAAGAGAUCAUGAAAAUUGACCGUGAUGCAUGAUCUGUAUUCAUGGACUAUGAAACAAACUCAGGAGGCGCUAAGAGCGGGAGAGGUAUGUUUCUCCUGUAACGGCUGCAAAUCGGCGCUGAGCUCAAAAACGCUGCCUUUUCAAGCACAUGCGAAAUGAAAUCGAACAUUUUCUAAAUACAGUAGUUUUCCUUCUGAAAUACAGUGAUAAAAAAACACCCGCUCUGGUUUUUGAAACCCUGCAAUGUAUUAAUUUUAAACCAUAAAAAAGCAACCCAGCAGGCUGGGUUAAAUGUAAUAACCCAACUGGUUGGGUUAAAAUAACCCAGCAUUGGGUUCGUCCCUUUUUGACCCAGCGCUGGGUUGCCAAAA
Molecule: long non-coding RNA, 976 nt
Organism: Carassius carassius (crucian carp)
Lineage: Eukaryota; Metazoa; Chordata; Actinopteri; Cypriniformes; Cyprinidae
Exons: 5
Source: RefSeq, a predicted model, not a curated record